RNAcentral lists this transfer RNA (66 nucleotides) under Cordylochernes scorpioides. Its description in RNAcentral is "tRNA-Gly". The record is from RNAcentral. Lineage: Eukaryota; Metazoa; Arthropoda; Arachnida; Pseudoscorpiones; Chernetidae.
GCUUUUGGUUCAGUGGUAGAAUCGCCUGCCACGCGGGCGCCCCGGGUUCGAUUCCCGGCCAAUGCA